This 647-nucleotide ribosomal RNA is filed under the name Pseudomonas sp. 32-12pA. RNAcentral describes it as "bacterial SSU rRNA". It matches the Rfam family "Bacterial small subunit ribosomal RNA", at positions 48 to 691 of the family's 1533-position model. Lineage: Bacteria; Pseudomonadati; Pseudomonadota; Gammaproteobacteria; Pseudomonadales; Pseudomonadaceae. The record is from RNAcentral.
GCUACACAUGCAGUCGAGCGGUAGAGAGAAGCUUGCUUCUCUUGAGAGCGGCGGACGGGUGAGUAAUGCCUAGGAAUCUGCCUGGUAGUGGGGGAUAACGUUCGGAAACGGACGCUAAUACCGCAUACGUCCUACGGGAGAAAGCAGGGGACCUUCGGGCCUUGCGCUAUCAGAUGAGCCUAGGUCGGAUUAGCUAGUUGGUGAGGUAAUGGCUCACCAAGGCGACGAUCCGUAACUGGUCUGAGAGGAUGAUCAGUCACACUGGAACUGAGACACGGUCCAGACUCCUACGGGAGGCAGCAGUGGGGAAUAUUGGACAAUGGGCGAAAGCCUGAUCCAGCCAUGCCGCGUGUGUGAAGAAGGUCUUCGGAUUGUAAAGCACUUUAAGUUGGGAGGAAGGGCAGUUGCCUAAUACGUAACUGUUUUGACGUUACCGACAGAAUAAGCACCGGCUAACUCUGUGCCAGCAGCCGCGGUAAUACAGAGGGUGCAAGCGUUAAUCGGAAUUACUGGGCGUAAAGCGCGCGUAGGUGGUUUGUUAAGUUGGAUGUGAAAUCCCCGGGCUCAACCUGGGAACUGCAUUCAAAACUGACUGACUAGAGUAUGGUAGAGGGUGGUGGAAUUUCCUGUGUAGCGGUGAAAUGCGU